GUUUCAGACUGCAGGACUGAGAUCUGUCCUUCAACACAACAGAAACCACGACAACCAUGACUCUGAUCACCAUCUUCAUCUGGACACUGGUCUGCUGCUGCCUCAAAGGAUCCAGAGGUCAGGUGACUGUGACUCAGCCUCCUGUAGUGACAUUUUCUCCAGGAGACCCUGUCACUCUGACCUGUACAACCAACCUUAAAGUGUACAAAUGGGAUGGUGGAGAGGAGGGUGCGUACUGGUAUCUAGAGAGACCUGGAGAAGCUCCCAAACUCCUGAUAAAAAACGUAAAGACACGGCAAGAUAGGAUUCCUGCUAGAUUCAGUGGCAGUGGGUCUGAGAGUGACUUCACUCUGACCAUCAGUGGAGUCCAGGCUGAAGAUGCAGCAGUUUACUACUGUAAGAGUUUCCACUAUCUCAACAGUAAAAAUAUCUUCACACAGUGAUUUAGAGCCGUACAAAAACCUCCUGCUCGAAAUACACACAUCAUUGGUCCACUGGACACAGAACUAAUGGUCUUGUUAUAUGACAUCACCAAGUACAACCACU
Salvelinus sp. IW2-2015 is the source of this 546-nucleotide non-coding RNA. The record is from the annotation of a RefSeq genome assembly. Lineage: Eukaryota; Metazoa; Chordata; Actinopteri; Salmoniformes; Salmonidae.